Nyctereutes procyonoides (raccoon dog) is the source of this 4901-nucleotide long non-coding RNA. RefSeq lists it as uncharacterized. The record is from RefSeq and is a predicted model, not a curated record. Lineage: Eukaryota; Metazoa; Chordata; Mammalia; Carnivora; Canidae. The transcript has 4 exons.
UCCAGAGGCUGUGGGGUGAUGGCAGCUCUCCCGCACCUCCGCGCGUCCGCAGGGCCUCAGCUGGCUGCCCGGGGCAGGGGCGCCCACGACGCAGGUGCUAGAGUGUGGGGUGGCGGCGCCCCCAGGCUCCAGGGUCCUGGCCCACACACUCUGCCCACUUGCAAGCCUGCACCUGCGCACACGGCUGUGCGUGUCCCUUUCAGCUGGAGCUGGAGGAGCCGGGACCGUGUGGCCAGGUGGGCCUGAGUCCACGACUGUGUUGUCUUUCUGUGAGAGACAACUGGCGCCUGGAGGUGGGGAGAAGGCAGGGACUUCCUUCCGCAGCCAGCGCAAAUGGGCUGAGUGUCAGCAGAUGAGAGCCACUGCUCAGAAUCCUUGCUGGGCUUUGACCCCAACGACUCCCUGUCAAGGAUUACACCUCCCAGUACCACAGUGAACAAAAGUGGCACCAGCGGGCAUCCUUGUCUUGUCUCUCAUCUUAGAGGAAAAGCUCUCAGGUUUUCACCGUUGACUUUGAUGAGUGCUUGGGGUCUGCUGCAUAUGGCCUUCGUCAUUUGAGUGUGAUUUUGUUCCGGUAACCUCAUUUUCUGUAAUACCUACAAACCUUUUGAGACGAACAGGUGAGCUUUCAGGAUUGGUAAAGGUAGGUGGGCUUUGACUCACUUGUAGAUUUGCAUUUCUGGUUUUGUAGGGUUUGCAAGACAGAGAGGCACUGGGUGACAGCCUGGAUGUCACAGGACGGCCCAACUUUCUAACCUCGCUUGGCUUCUUCACAUCAGGGAGAACGCCAACCGAGACGGAGCCCCUGAGGCCGACCGUUGGACUUGUCAGACAACUGAGAAAUCUCGACAGAGAAUUUGUCUUCUCUCAAAUACAGCCACUUUGAAGGGUCUGUCAUCGGGCCAGUGACGAGGAGGAUCCUACUAAUCUCAGCAAGGACUCAAAGCAAUAAGCUAUGAGAAAUACCUGGAGGCCACUUGCCAGGCUCACCAUGGACACGAGAGGCAUCUCUGAAAGGGACACAGGUGACGUGGCUCAUGCGAGCCACACGUUUACUCCUGGGAAUAGUCUAAGAAAGCAAAGGCCUCGGUCCCCAGGCAGUGAGGACGGUGUGUGAAACACGCUGUCUCCGGUCUCCCAUGGACAUGAGAGGCCUCCAACCACCGUCCUGCUCACCUGUGACAUGGGGCAGGUGCCGCUGGAAGGGGACUCUUCCAGCACUCACAGACACGGAGUUGAGAGGACAGGCCCCUGAUGUGCUGGUGCCUCUCGUGCCAAACCCCGCAGGGAGCUGGCACAGCCAGACAGCGUGCUGCCCGUUGACCAUGCACAGAGGGAAGCCCCUCACUGGGCCAGAGGGCCAAGGCCAGAGAACAUUGCCACUGCUCCCGAAGCCAGGCUCUCGGGACAUGGAGCCACAUGGAGGGAAGCCCCGCAUUGGGUUUUCAGCCAGGGAACCCACUGCGCCAACGGGCUGCUUUCCACUGGGGAUGUGCCCGUCGAUGUGCCUUGAACCACAGGCUCAAGGUCCUGUGGCUGCGUGUCUCCCUAUGGAGAGUCCUCUUUAGGACAAAUGUGCAGAUAACAAAACCGUGACGAUCUCUGGGAGGAAACAGUGAGUUGGCCAAGAGAACUCAACCAAAUUCACCAGAGUCGCUAAGCCCAAGGAACUAGCUCUGCAACUAUUUUCUCCUGCAGCUUACGUUUAGGAAGCAAGAGAGAAGGGACUCGCACAACUCUUGUUUCUGUCCGACCCAGAGGCCGACCCAGGAAGGGUCUGGUCUGGCUCUGUGUUGUGACUCAGGUUAAUGGAGAGGAAUCGCUAUGCCAAUGUGCACAUUGUUGGGUGCCCGGCCCCUCUAUAGGUGUUGGAGGAGGUCAGGGCCUGGAAUCAUCCAGAUUCCUUGGACACAUGCUUGCCCCUUCCGGGUCCAGCCCCUCUCGACCCUGGUGUUGUUUUAGGUCCCUGGCUAAACGAAGCUGUGCAGCAGCGCUGGUGCCCUACACACACAGCAGCCAGCCUCGGCAGCCAGGACACUCCAGGCCUGUGGAACUCAGGCUGUUCCGCCAAUAGCAUAGCCUCCAAGGCAGGGGAAUGCCCGGAAAAUCUUCCUGUCGUGGCAGCUUUAGGCUGACAGCAGUCACUCCCUCUGUGGACUGGCUGCCUGACGAGGGCCCUGGUGACCCCAGCUACCAAGGCUCCCAGGUGUCUUUUUGGCGCUAAUUGCCAGGAUUGUUCCUCCAGCUCUGCCUUCACAGGGAGAAGGCACAUGUGUAAGGGUUAGGGCUUGAGAGAGGCAGGUGCCUCCUGCUGCCGACAGCUGCACCGUGAUCAGGCUUCGACUGUGGCAGGUCCCUGGCCACCCUGAGUAUCGAUGCAAGUGUGUGAAAAACAUACCCCGUUGGCCAACCAUAGGCAGCUGGGACAUGCAUGGCCCCAGGGUGGAGGGAGCACAGCCCCCAAAUCUUUCUGAAGAUUCCUUUAAACUAGGAAAAGUCAGCCACCAUUUCAAGUGGCCGUUUGAUGGGGUCCCGGGCUUAGCACUCAUCAGGGUUCCAGGAGUCUCUUGGUGAAGGGGACCCCAGCAGCCAGACAGGCCCCCUCCUGGCCAGGCAGUCCAGCUCCUGCCCUGGCACCUGUGUGGGAUAGGGCUUGGAAGGAGCAGAGGACCCAUGACCCAGGCUCUCCUGACACUUGCUCUGUUUCAGGGCAGUAGAUGCAGAUAAAACAUUAGACAAAAUUCAGCACCAAUUUAUGAUAAAACCCCGGCAAUCUGGAAGUAAGGGGGAACUCCCUCAGCUUAAUAAAGAGCAGCUAACAUUAUACUUUAUAAUCAGGAACAAGGCAAAGAUGUCCUCUCCCACCGCUGCUUUUCAACAUCAUAAUGAGAGAUGAUGAGGGAGGGUGGGCAGGUGAUGAUGAUAACUGACUUAGUGGAGGGACAAGCCCAGCUACUCCAACUAGAUGAGAAUAAGAUCCCAAAUUCUCAGCAAGUUACUUGGUGGAUGUCAACACAUGGAUUCUAGUUUAUAUGGAGAAGAAAAGAUCCAGAAUAGUCAGCUCCAUCUUGAAUGACCAGAAGGAGGCAAGAGGACUGGCCCUAUGACACCACCCAAUAUCCAGAGCCUCUGGGAAGUGACAGGGAUGGAGACAGUGAGGUCCUGCUGAACGGACAGAUCAACGGGGCAGAAAAUGAGCUACAACAUAGUCCAUUGAUCGCUGCCAGCGGUGUAAAGACCGUACGACAGAACAAAGAUGGGCUCUUCCAUACAUGGCACUGGGACAGCAGAACAACCAAGUGCAAAAAAAUAAAGAACCAUUAUAGAGGUUCUUUACACCCAUUAUAAAAUUACCUCAAACUGGAACACUGACCCAAGGGUAAAACACAAAAUGACACGCUGCUUAUCAUUCUGCUUUGUAGAUCUCAUAUUUUCUACACAUUGAAGGUGUGUGGCAACCCUGUGGCACCAAGGCCAUCAGUGACGUUAUUCCUAUGGCAUUUGCUCACUUCUUGUCUCUGGCCCCAUGCUGGGGAUGCUCACCAUAUACCAAAUGCUUCCACUGUUACGCUGCGUGUUCUGGUGAUCUUUGACGUCACUACUGUAAUUGUCUGGGGCACCUGUAUCCAUAAUGACGAACUUCGUAUGUGCUGUGUGUGUGGUGACCGCUCCAUCCACUGCCGUCCCCAUCUCCCUCCUUCUCCUCUGGCCUCCUGGUCUCUGAGACACAACGGUACUAAACCGAGGCAGCUAGUGAUCCUACUGUGGCUUCUAGGUAUUCAGGUGAAAGAGCUGCAUGCCUCUCGCCGUAAAUCAAAAGCUAGACAUGAUUAAGCUCAGUGAGGAAGGCAUGUUGACAGAGAGAUAUGCUGAAAGCCAGGCCUCUUGUACCAAACAGACCAGUUGUGAAGGAAGAGUAACGUUCUGGAAGAAACUGAAAGAGCCACACCAGUGAGCACAUGAAGGAUACGUUGGCACCAGCUAAUGAGGAUUCUGGUGCACACCAGGGUGUCACCAUGCACAAGGGGCUGCAACACAGUCAGCAGGGACUGAAAUCACAAAUAUGCUUUAUCGCGGUGGGUUUUACACGGAGAUGUUCCCGGGUGCUGAGAACAGAUACCAACUGCCUCAACGCCCGCCCCCUCCCCCCAGGUCUCUCCGAAACCCCACAAACAGCAGACAGAGCCACUACCAGAAAAUACACCAACAAUCCGUCAACUCCAGGGGCCGAAUCUGGCGUGGGCAAAGCAGAGCCCUGAUGGACAGAGGGGAACUAGUCCUGAGCACAAGUCCUGACAGGGAGAUGGCACAUUUCUGAGCAGGACACAGAUGGGAGGUCGGCCCUCUGCAUCAGCUGAGGAGAUCCCAGCUGUGCCAGUAGCAGACCUGCUGGAACUUGUCCACGCUCCAGCAGUUUGCACUGGGGACCUUCUGCUCUCUGGGAAACCCCAAUCGCUGGAGAAGCAGGAUAUGCAGGGAUGCAUCAGUGGAAACCUCCACUUGGCUCUCCACAAGGAUCAGUGAAGCACCAGAACACCACUCGCUUGCACACUGACCUGGAGGAAGAAGAUUGGACAGAACCACUAACUGGCACCUGGUAUUAGAACCCAGCAACUCCACCAGGUACCGGCUUUUGUACUUCUCCCUUAUCUCACCCGACUGAAUUGAAUGUAGCAUUGGGCACAAGGCAGAGACUCUGAAAACACCCCCAAUUUAAUUCCUGAUUUACUUUGUGUGCUAGCAUUUCAUUGUAGAAGAGCAGCUGCUGAAUCUGCCUAAAGGGCAAUUAGAUCUUUAAACAGAAAUAGGCAAAAAAAAAAAAAUCAUUUAUCACUCCCAACUUGCAACAUUUAAUCCAUAGUCACCAAUUAGAACGUUAAUAAUAGAUCCAUGACACGAAG